AAUCGAGGCCCCGUAAUUGGAAUGAGUACACUUUAAAUCCUUUAACGAGGAUCAAUUGGAGGGCAAGUCUGGUGCCAGCAGCCGCGGUAAUUCCAGCUCCAAUAGCGUAUAUUAAAGUUGUUGCGGUUAAAAAGCUCGUAGUUGGAUCUCAGGAUUUGGAUGGAUGGUUCGCUUUCGGGCGCUACUAUCUGUCUGACCUACUCUAGUCGUGGAUGCCUUGGGUGCUCUUAAUUGAGUGCUUUUGGUGCCCGACGCAAUUACUUUGAAAAAAUUAGAGUGCUCAAAGCAGGCGUAUUGCCUGAAUAGUGUUGCAUGGAAUAAUGAAAUAGGAGUUUACUUCUAUUUUGUUGGUUUUCGGAGGUGAACUAAUGAUUAACAGGGACAGACGGGGGCAUUUGUAUGGAGGGGUUAGAGGUGAAAUUCUUGGAUCCUCUCCAGACAAACUACUGCGAAAGCAUUUGCCAGGAAUGUUUUCACUAAUCAAGAACGAAAGUCAGAGGUUCGAAGACGAUCAGAUACCGUCCUAGUUCUGACCAUAAAUGAUGCCAUCUAACAAUCCACGAAGUUUGCUUGUACGAACUCGUGGGCGGUCCCCGGGAAACCAAAGAUUUUGGGUUCCGGGGGAAGUAUGGUUGCAAAGCUGAAACUUAAAGGAAUUGACGGAAGGGCACCACCAGGAGUGGAGCCUGCGGCUUAAUUUGACCCAACACGGGAAACCUCACCCGGCCCGGACACUUUUAGGAUUGACAGAUUGAAGGCUCUUUCUUGAUCAAGUGGUUGGUGGUGCAUGGCCGUUCUUAGUUGGUGGAGCGAUUUGUCUGGUUAAUUCCGAUAACGAACGAGACUCUACUCUGCUAAAUAGGACGUUGAUAUAUAAAAGUCAGUGCUGACUUCUUAGAGAGACUAACGGCGUUUAGCCGUGUGAGAAAGAGCAAUAACAGGUCUGUGAUGCCCUUAGAUGUCCGGGGCCGCACGCGCGCUACACUGACUGCAGCAACUAGUAUGCUCCUGGUUUGAAAAAACUGGGUAACCUGGUUGAAUUGCAGGCGUGACAGGGAUCAGAGUUUGCAAUUAUCCUCUGUGAACGAGGAAUUCCCAGUAAGCGCAAGUCAUUAGCUUGUGCUGAUUACGUCCCUGCCCUUUGUACACACCGCCCGUCGCUACUACCGAUUGAAUGGUUUAGUGAGGUCUUCGGAUUGGUGCUGAUGGAGUGGUUCUCUGCUCUGUUAGUGCCGAGAAGAUGAUCAAACUUGAUCAUUUAGAGGAAGUAAAAGUCGUAACAAGGU
This 1286-nucleotide ribosomal RNA is filed under the name metagenome. Its description in RNAcentral is "SSU rRNA". It matches the Rfam family "Eukaryotic small subunit ribosomal RNA", at positions 493 to 1800 of the family's 1831-position model. The record is from RNAcentral.